CUACAGAGUGUUUUAAUAGAUUUCUAAGUACAAUUCGUGUCUGAUUUUGGAAAUACAAAUACAUUUCGAAUGGUUAAAAACAAAAAUUAAAAAAAUAUUUUGAACAUCAGCCAGCUGAAAAUAUAUUUAUCUAGUAAAUCAUCUCUCAAAGCUUUUAUAUAUUUUAAUUAUUCUAACUAAACAUAGUACCCUUAAAAAACAAGUUCAUAAAAAUGUAGAAAUGAAAUUGUGGAAUAAGAUUACUGGGAGAUACAUAUAUACACACACACAUUCAAUGCAUACACAGAAUUACAAGGGGGUCUGUUUGUCUGUUUCUCAGUUUGGCAGGUUGCUGGACAAACGGAACUAGCAAGCAAUGCUCAACUCCUGAGUUCCUCAACCAAGAUAACCAUAGGCUAAUUUUUAAUUGUAUUUUUUUAUCUUUUUUUUUUUUUUUUUUUUUAUACACAAGAUAUUCCAUGUAAAGCAGCAACAGCAGUGCAGUUACUGGUAGCAACAUCUCAAAAGUAAUAAAAAACCCCAUACAUCCAGACAGUAGUACAUUGCACACACACGUGAUUCCCAUACACCCAUCAACAAUUGGUCAGAGUAUUAAAUCAGUGUACAAAUUAAAUAUUUCCAAAAAUGUGCAAAAAAGUCAACAUUGAUAGAAAAAAACACCUUUGUGUACAUACAUUACAAACUGUGCCCAGCAUUCAACUGAGAGUAAAAACAUUUACAGUGAGAAACUGAUAGAUUAAAUAGAGAAUUUAAUGGCUACAUAAAAAUGUACAUUAGAUCAAGAGAAAAUUUACAAAUUUUUAUUCAUAGCUUCAUGAAAACUAAAAGCCUACGUUCCAAUUCAUCUAAGUCUCCUCCGCGUACUUACAGUGAUACUCCAUUACACAACUCCUGCGAGGUCUGAGAUGACAGACACUAGGCUUUAAUAAACUGUUCCAAUUUUAGGAGGACAUCACCUUUUUUACUGAUAUUAAUGAAAAACAAACACUAGGGAACCGACAACCUAAUGCCUGUUUGGAAAAGAAAACGCAAUCUUUGUUUUUUAAAUCCACAUUAUAUAACCUCUGGCGAAAAGGAUCAUCUAGUUUUGGGGAAAAAGACAUGAAAAACCUCUGAAAUAUUUCC
RNAcentral lists this long non-coding RNA (1125 nucleotides) under Strigops habroptila (Kakapo). RNAcentral's name for it is "lncRNA (ENSSHBG00005019869.1)". The record is from RNAcentral. Lineage: Eukaryota; Metazoa; Chordata; Aves; Psittaciformes; Psittacidae.